RNAcentral lists this ribosomal RNA (1383 nucleotides) under Bacillus subtilis. RNAcentral describes it as "16S ribosomal RNA". It matches the Rfam family "Bacterial small subunit ribosomal RNA", at positions 9 to 1375 of the family's 1533-position model. The record is from RNAcentral. Lineage: Bacteria; Bacillati; Bacillota; Bacilli; Caryophanales; Bacillaceae.
GAGUUUGAUCNUGGCUCAGGACGAACGCUGGCGGCGUGCCUAAUACAUGCAAGUCGAGCGGACAGAUGGGAGCUUGCUCCCUGAUGUUAGCGGCGGACGGGUGAGUAACACGUGGGUAACCUGCCUGUAAGACUGGGAUAACUCCGGGAAACCGGGGCUAAUACCGGAUGGUUGUNUGAACCGCAUGGUUCAGACAUAAAAGGUGGCUUCGGCUACCACUUACAGAUGGACCCGCGGCGCAUUAGCUAGUUGGUGAGGUAACGGCUCACCAAGGCNACGAUGCGUAGCCGACCUGAGAGGGUGAUCGGCCACACUGGGACUGAGACACGGCCCAGACUCCUACGGGAGGCAGCAGUAGGGAAUCUUCCGCAAUGGACGAAAGUCUGACGGAGCAACGCCGCGUGAGUGAUGAAGGUUUUCGGAUCGUAAAGCUCUGUUGUUAGGGAAGAACAAGUGCCGUUCAAAUAGGGCGGCACCUUGACGGUACCUAACCAGAAAGCCACGGCUAACUACGUGCCAGCAGCCGCGGUAAUACGUAGGUGGCAAGCGUUGUCCGGAAUUAUUGGGCGUAAAGGGCUCGCAGGCGGUUUCUUAAGUCUGAUGUGAAAGCCCCCGGCUCAACCGGGGAGGGUCAUUGGAAACUGGGGAACUUGAGUGCAGAAGAGGAGAGUGGAAUUCCACGUGUAGCGGUGAAAUGCGUAGAGAUGUGGAGGAACACCAGUGGCGAAGGCGACUCUCUGGUCUGUAACUGACGCUGAGGAGCGAAAGCGUGGGGAGCGAACAGGAUUAGAUACCCUGGUAGUCCACGCCGUAAACGAUGAGUGCUAAGUGUUAGGGGGUUUCCGCCCCUUAGUGCUGCAGCUAACGCAUUAAGCACUCCGCCUGGGGAGUACGGUCGCAAGACUGAAACUCAAAGGAAUUGACGGGGGCCCGCACAAGCGGUGGAGCAUGUGGUUUAAUUCGAAGCAACGCGAAGAACCUUACCAGGUCUUGACAUCCUCUGACAAUCCUAGAGAUAGGACGUCCCCUUCGGGGGCAGAGUGACAGGUGGUGCAUGGUUGUCGUCAGCUCGUGUCGUGAGAUGUUGGGUUAAGUCCCGCAACGAGCGCAACCCUUGAUCUUAGUUGCCAGCAUUCAGUUGGGCACUCUAAGGUGACUGCCGGUGACAAACCGGAGGAAGGUGGGGAUGACGUCAAAUCAUCAUGCCCCUUAUGACCUGGGCUACACACGUGCUACAAUGGACAGAACAAAGGGCAGCGAAACCGCGAGGUUAAGCCAAUCCCACAAAUCUGUUCUCAGUUCGGAUCGCAGUCUGCAACUCGACUGCGUGAAGCUGGAAUCGCUAGUAAUCGCGGAUCAGCAUGCCGCGGUGAAUACGUUCCC